UCCAUGUGGACUGCUCUCGUGGUGAGGCU
Molecule: small RNA, 29 nt
Filed under: Bombyx mori (domestic silkworm)
Lineage: Eukaryota; Metazoa; Arthropoda; Insecta; Lepidoptera; Bombycidae
Description: ovarian small RNA-27043
Source: RNAcentral